CAGCAACAACCAGCCAAUUAGUAUGUCAGAAGAACAGGUCAGAUUCGGCUGAAGUCGCAGUGCAGCUCGUUGUGCUUUGGCUUAAUGCACCAGGAUGUCAUGAUUUAGAUCUUACCCUAAUAGAUAAAUCUGGCCUUCAUAGCUUUUUAACAACUUGCAUUUUAGACCAGAAGUGGGAAAGUUUCUGAGGAAUAAGGGCGUACAACUCAGGAAAACACAGAUACUGCUUGUCCAUUCAGAAAUUCUGCAGGUCAGAGAUACAGCAUUCAAAUUAAAGUUAGCCUUUAAUAAUGAA
This is a long non-coding RNA of Pantherophis guttatus, 295 nucleotides long. RefSeq lists it as uncharacterized. The record is from RefSeq and is a predicted model, not a curated record. NCBI's taxonomy places the organism in Eukaryota, Metazoa, Chordata, Lepidosauria, Squamata, Colubridae.